GAUGAACGCUAGCGGCAGGCCUAAUACAUGCAAGUCGAGGGGCAGCGCGGUAGCAAUACUGGCGGCGACCGGCGCACGGGUGCGUAACGCGUAUGGAACUUGCCCUUUACUGUGGAAUAGCCCGGGAGAAAUUCGGAUUAAUACCACAUAGUAUCACGAGGUGGCAUCAUUUUGUGAUUAAAGAUUUAUCGGUAAAGGAUAGUCAUGCGUCAGAUUAGCUAGUUGGCGGGGUAACGGCCACCAAGGCGAUGAUCUGUAGGGGGCUCUGAGAGGAUGAUCCCCACCACUGUGNCUGAGAUACGGACCAGACUCCUACGGGAGGCAGCAGUAGGGAAUAUUGGUCAAUGGGCCGAGAGCCUGAACCAGCCAUGCCGCGUGCAGGAAGAAGGCCCUCU
Molecule: ribosomal RNA, 395 nt
Filed under: uncultured bacterium
Lineage: Bacteria
Description: bacterial SSU rRNA
Rfam family: Bacterial small subunit ribosomal RNA
Source: RNAcentral